Molecule: ribosomal RNA, 445 nt
Filed under: uncultured bacterium
Lineage: Bacteria
Description: partial 16S ribosomal RNA
Rfam family: Bacterial small subunit ribosomal RNA
Source: RNAcentral
CCAGACUCCUACGGGAGGCAGCAGUGGGGAAUAUUGCACAAUGGGGGAAACCCUGAUGCAGCGACGCCGCGUGAGUGAAGAAGUAUUUCGGUAUGUAAAGCUCUAUCAGCAGGAAAGAAAAUGACGGUACCUGACUAAGAAGCCCCGGCUAACUACGUGCCAGCAGCCGCGGUAAUACGUAGGGGGCAAGCGUUAUCCGGAUUUACUGGGUGUAAAGGGAGCGUAGACGGUGAAGCAAGUCUGAAGUGAAAGGCAGGGGCUCAACCCCCGGACUGCUUUGGAAACUGUUUGACUGGAGUGCAGGAGAGGUAAGUGGAAUUCCUAGUGUAGCGGUGAAAUGCGUAGAUAUUAGGAGGAACACCAGUGGCGAAGGCGGCUUACUGGACUGUAACUGACGUUGAGGCUCGAAAGCGUGGGGAGCAAACAGGAUUAGAUACCCCUGUAA